ACGGCCACGGGCACUGGCACUGCCGGCACCCACCACCACCUCCCUGGGGCUGCGCCUGGGCUCCUGGUUGCUGCGGCUGCUGCGGGAGUGCGUCUACCUCCUUCUCUGCAGCUGGUGCAUCCGGGAGCUGCUGGACUAGGGAAUGCCCCCUUCCCCCCUCCAGUGCUGCAGGACGUCCAGCACCCCCUGCCCGCCCUGGCUCUGUGGGACUGUGCUUGUCGCCACGUGCUGAUGGAGCUGACAGACCCCCGGCGCUGGGACACUGCGCUCCCCACAGUCAUAGACCCCAGUAAAGCUGAGCAGAGCCUGA
Molecule: long non-coding RNA, 310 nt
Organism: Empidonax traillii (willow flycatcher)
Lineage: Eukaryota; Metazoa; Chordata; Aves; Passeriformes; Tyrannidae
Exons: 2
Source: RefSeq, a predicted model, not a curated record